This 880-nucleotide long non-coding RNA is filed under the name Taeniopygia guttata (zebra finch). RNAcentral's name for it is "lncRNA (ENSTGUG00000019304.1)". The record is from RNAcentral. Lineage: Eukaryota; Metazoa; Chordata; Aves; Passeriformes; Estrildidae.
AUGUUAUGUUAAUGUUAUGUUAAUGUUAUGAGUGGGGCACGGCAGGAUCGCUGAGGCGAAGCCGGUGGGCGGGGAUUUGGGCGGAGCUUUGGGCGGAGCUUUGAGCGGAGCUUUGGGCGGGGCUUUGGGCGGAGCUUUGGGCGGGGCUUUGGGCGGAGCUUUGGGCGGGGCUUUGGGUGGGGCUUUGGGCGGGGCUUUAGGCGGAGCUUUGAGCUGAGCUUAAGUCAGGGUCGCGUCACGGCCAUGCCGGGCCUGAGUCGGGCGUGGUAAAGUGGGAAGGAACGAGCGCCAUGGAGUUGCCGGCUCCGCGUGGCAGCAGCGUGAUGUCGCUGGUCCCCGUCGUGGUGCUCUUGGCUCUGUGCCCGCUCCUCGCCCGGGCAGACCAGCCUCCUGUCACCAUCACGGUGACAGCGGCCAUCGGCGAGGACGCCUACCUGCCCUGCGGCCCGCGGCCCUGGGGUGACCUGCGCAGGGCCACCCUCAGCUGCACCCACCACAGGCACUGUCCCCUUUGGGGUCUCUCUCAUUCCCUGCCGUACCCAGCCCUGUCCCUGUCUCCAUGGUGCCAGAAUUUGGGGGUGUCACCAAUUCCCUGCUGUGCCUGUCACCUGCUCUGUCCAUUGUCCCGAUCUGGGUGGUGCCCCCAACACUUUUCACCCCAAUUGGAGCCUCCUCAUUCCCUGACUCAUCUGUCACCUCCUCCAGCUGAGUCACCAUCUUGGUGAUACCAGGUGUCCCUGACGUGUCCCUUGUGCCACCUGAGCAGUGACCAGUGUCCCUGCCCUGUUCUCCUGUCCUAUUUGAGGUCCCACAUGCCUGACGUGUCCCUUGUGCCACCUGAGCAGUGCCAGGUGUCCCUGACGUGUUCCCCUGCCCUAUU